GUAGCUUUACGGUUUUAAAAUUAAAAAUCACCCUAUUAGACUACUUUUAAAAAUUAUCUCAUUUUUAUGGCACCAAACACUUUCAAAAAAAUUAUAGGAUAAUAAAAAAUAUUCCUCACAUCACAUUCAGUAAUUUAUCAAAUUAUUUUCUAGCAUAAGUUAGAUAGAGAAUUAUGAAGAAUGGGAAUUUUGGGAAAGUUUAGAAGAACCUCAUGAUUCUCUACGUAUCUUAUGAUAGAAAAAUAUUUUUUUAACCGAAGUCAGUAGGGGAAGCCCAAC
RNAcentral lists this long non-coding RNA (279 nucleotides) under Setaria viridis. RNAcentral's name for it is "long non-coding RNA (SVIR_LNC000418)". Lineage: Eukaryota; Viridiplantae; Streptophyta; Magnoliopsida; Poales; Poaceae. The record is from RNAcentral.